Molecule: long non-coding RNA, 2040 nt
Organism: Pleuronectes platessa (European plaice)
Lineage: Eukaryota; Metazoa; Chordata; Actinopteri; Pleuronectiformes; Pleuronectidae
Exons: 3
Source: RefSeq, a predicted model, not a curated record
AAAUGUUUUUUUUUUAUACGUCUUACACUUUGAUUUACUUGUCGUAGGGCCUUCAUCAGGUCAACUUAAAAAUUACAUGAGUCUCCUCAAGACAACAUGAAGAUGUAAAGUUAUCAAAAAAAACACUUUUCACCACACCGUCUGACCGUGGCGUGCCCUUAAAAUUUGAUGAAUAACAUUAAAACACGGCCUUCUGUAUCUUGGACAUAUUUUGUCCAAUCGAGUCCAAACUAUACACAUAAGACAAGAGUCGCGAUCGGAAGACAUCUACCUAGAAAUCAUGACUUAAAAGGACAGCGCCCCCUGGGGGCAUUAGGAAAUGUCUUGUUUUGGUAGGUGUUACUCUUUGAUCUAUUUCUCCCCAGCCACUGUGCUAAACCAUGUCAAACUUUGUCACAUGGGUCUCAAGAUAUUGAUAAUGUAGGCAUAAUAUUACUGUGACUUUUCAUCAUGCGGAUUGUUAAUGGCGGGGCAUCAAAGUUCAUCAGCUCACCAUGACAAACGAAAUUCAUUUUAACGGAGUUACCAUGAACGCAUCAUUAGACCGCAUUGUUUUGGUCAACUCACACCUGGAGUUAUUUCUAUUCAGCCACUUUGCGAAACCAUUUCAAACUGUGUGAAAUGGGUCUCAAGAUAUUGAUAGUGUAGGCAUAAGAUUGCUGUGACUUUUCAUCAUGAUGAUUAACUGCUUGGCAGCUGAGGUCAUCAUCUCGACAUGAAAAACGAAACGCAAUUUAACACAGCUGCAAGUGAACGCAUCAUGACAAUCUCCUUCAGUAAGAGCUGAGUCUGUGGUGACGGUCCACUCACACAUCGAAUCAGUAGCACAGUUUGCUGUUCUGCUUGUUCAUCUGACGGACACGUAAAAGGCGACUGCUCUCUCGUUUCUGUGGAUGUCCAGCGUGAGACACAACUUGAAUCCAACCAGACUGAACACUGACUCCAGGGACGGACGAGCCUGAAGGACACAGCUGUGAUGACCAAUUGACCAUGUUUUGUCUCUUAUGGCAAAGCAGAAAUAUUAAACACUGGGUUCUUAUCUAAAGUGUAUCAAAUCAGAAAGCAAAAGAUACACAUUGUUGUUAUAAGUUUUUAUUAUUUUAACCAACCAUAAUGAAGAUAGAAAUGAAUUCUUAUCCAUGCCACUUAGCAAUGACUGCCACCACCAAACAGUUGCAGGCCAUCUUUAUUUAAGGGAGGAAUUUAGAAGUGUUGUGUAGCUUCUGAUGAUGAUGCAGUCGUCCACGUGUUGACCACCAUGUUGCUGCUGACGACGUCAGGUGCUGCAGUUCCUCAUCUAUAAAGAGAAGAAACGCACUGUUAAAGAAUGUUUUGAGUUGUGUAUGAAGCACAACAGAUUUCAGAUAGAACCGUUGUACUGUGGUCUGGGUUUGUAUCCUAAUGGUUAAAUGCACAUAUUUUAAGUCGCUUUUGAUAAAAGUACUGAAAGAAAUACAACAUUGUAAAAAUAGAUAAAAUGUCUUUCUACCUCAUCUGUAAUAUUCAAGGUGAUAAUCUCCCACAGAGCUAUUGAUAACAGUCCACAUCAAGUCUCUCCACUUCCCUCAGUGUGAAAACAUAAUUAUAUAAUUAAUUUGAGAACUGUUUACAACACUGAUGUGUGGAGAUUAAAAUCAUAUCUAAACUGUCUAAUUCACUGUAAAACUCCAUGACAUUCGCAGGCCAUCUGUAGUUAAGGGAGCAACGUAUGGAGUGAUGUGUAGAGGGCAGAAACUUGGACUAUGGGCAGAGAAGGUCUCUGGUUCGUCUCCGGUUCGACUCCACGGAGAGACAACAAAAGACAAACCUGGAUUGAUCUGUCCAAAAAUCCAAGAGUCUCCCUACCCUCUCUAGUGCCCCUGAGCAAGGCACCUCACUCCCCCAACAUCUGCUCCGUGAGCGCCGUACAUGGUCGCUCACUGCUCUGUGUGUCCUGCACCAGAUGGGUAAAAAGCAGAGAUUAAAUUUCCCUACCUGCAUGAGUGUGCCUUUGCAUGUCUGUGCAUGUGUUUGGGACGAAUAAAUGGAUCUUAAUCUUAA